AGUCAGCAGCUGUCACCAAAGCCCAGCUUGAUAAAGUUGUGUUGGACAAGACGGAGGAGAAAGCGGCCUUUGACCUGGUGCUUGAGAAGGCGGCAGCUGAGGCGGCGGCACAGAAGGCCAUUGCUGACAAGACGCUCGUUGACUUCGGAGAGCUGCAGGUGAGUGUCUAGCAGUAUUUUCUGACCUUAAGGGGAAGCUCAGCUGAGGUCCUAGCGCUUUCUCUAAACACCUUAGCGGCUUUGUUGUGGUUACCUCAUGAUCCACAGCGGCGGUUUAAUGGUUGAAGUCGAGCUUGAGAUCGCCUGUGCUACCUGUGGUACAGCUCGUUUGAUAUCUUGCUUCUACGAGGAGCCUAUGCGUUGCUAAUCGCUGAGCAUGGGGCAAUUGCUGGGGGGAAACACCCGGGCCAUGGGUCCAGGGAUCGUUUUUGUCUUGGCCACGCUGCUGUACUGGGAAAUGCCUAUGCUGGCGGGUAAUUGGUUGCAUUUUUGGUGUACUUAAGCCGUGCUAAUAAUUUCUUCGUAAGUGAUGGACAUGGCCGACAAAGUUAAACUAUUACGUAAGCCAUCGAGAUAAUAGCGAGGUCAACAGUCGCAGCGGAAGGUGAAGGACUUUGUAUCUCUGACUACAAGCAAGUAUAUAUGUACACACACACAUAUAUAUAUAUACACACACAUAUAUAUAUACACACACAUAUAUAUACACACACAUAUAUAUAUAUAUAUAUAUAUAUAUGUACACACACACUCAUAUAUAUAUAUAUAUACACACACAUAUAUAUAUACACACAUAUAUAUAUACACACACACAUAUAUAUAUAUAUAUAUAUAUAUAUAUAUGGCAAGUGUAUGCUACCUGUGUUCGGUUUUUAGCGUCGAGAUUCCUGAUUAAAGCAGCCAGGCACCUUACAUGAUGACCGUGCCAAUCAGAGCUCAUCAGUAAUAACAUUGUUAUGGUCCAUAGACAGGGUUAAAGUAUCAUGGAUAUGACCGAUAAAUAGAUAGCAUAUAGAUCCAUGGUAUACAAUGGUAUAUAGGUCGUGCUAUGGCAUUAUAGAUAGCCAUGAGAAUAGAAGGUUUGUAGACAUUCCUCUCUUUUACAGGCGUCAGCUGCGGCAUCCCAUUGUAGUGGAAAGUGAAGCAAGCCAUGGCAAGUGAAGCACGCAUUACCAUCCACUUCAACUACUGGCUUGCGUGAGUGACCUAAGAGGCCUGCAACCCAGGUAGUGCCGAUGCUGCUCUGCUUUGAUUCCUACAGUCCAGGCAGUGCCGUGAUGCUAUAUAUAGUGCUUAUGGCAACCGUUGUGGCAUUUCACGCACAACGGGCGCACACAUGGGUGAUCACGACAUUUACGCGCUGCGUUACAUGAUAUGCGGAUCCAUAUCUGUUACGGGGAGGGUCGGUGUCGCAUGGGGACCUCCGCAUAUGUUGACCUCCGUCUGCGUCGCUGGGCCGAAGACAUGAAGGCAUUAGGCGGGCGGUAUGGAGUGGCAAAGGCAAGCGAAACCUAGAAGGAGGACAGCUAAUCUGCAAAGCCGCACUUAAGGAUGCUGUGUUCGUCAUUCUCUUUGGCAUUUCCAGCUACCACUUUUGGAAAGAGAGGGAGAGUCUGUGUAUGUGACUGUUUUACACCUGGACUUGCAUACUCUCCAAAGGUGUAACGGGCCCAUACGAGCCGGCUACGAGCCGGCCCAUACGAGCCGAAGGCUGCCCGAAAUAGAUAGGCAUGUAAAAAUGCAUGAGAGAAAUAUUCUUAUUCUAUCGCUCGAAGAAGACACUAUUCAGACUGCUAUGCUGUAGCAGUGCGCUUGCUAUAUGAGACCCUCUGUACUGUGGAUGGGGCUCGCAAGCUUGAAUUGGUUAUCCGCUACUAUCACAUCCUUCACAGUCUGAUUAAUCUGAAACCGGACAGAAGGCCCCUGCGUAUGCUAUAUACUGGGCAGUCCGUCUUGGAGCUCGCAGGACUUGCGCUAUCGCGCGAUCCCCCAUACACGUUUUUGCUUCUAGCGGGCAGCAACAUAUACGAAAAUGCAUUAGCAACUGACGCAUAUCGACAAUAAUAAAGAUAUUGGUAUUCGGCAUUCGUGUUUUUCCUUCGCUAGACGAGGAUAGGAGGGAGCCUCGGGGGUAAGGAGGUACUGGAAUCCCCAGAAGCGCCCUCCCAUUAUUAUGUGUCCCAUAUGCGUCCCAUAUGCUCCUGAAAUCUAUUAGCGUACUAGGCUCUUUGCGGGACGGAAGCUAGCAGCGCUACUCGUGCGUGCACUGACAUAAUACACAAGCGGGAUGCACGGUCCUGCAAUAAAGUAUGCGCGUCGUAUUGACCUGCUCAACAUGCAGGCCGGUAAAGGCUGCCCUGUGUCACGGCGUCGUGAUUCCAUAUAUAUGUAUUGUCAAAUGGAGAACAAUGAAAGCAAGUCACCAUCGUAGUAGCAGUGCUGGUUAAUGUACCUGUGCUCCCCUCAACCUUCAGUCUUAAUAAUUUAGAUAAGAGCGAUUUUGACUCAUGCAUUAAGUUUCCUUCGCCCGCCUGCAGGAAUCAGCGGCUGCGGCCAAGGCCCAGUUUGACAAGUUCGUGUUGGACAAGACGGAGGAGAAAGCGGCCUUUGACCUGGUGCUGGAAAAGACGGCGGCUGAGGCGGCGGCACAGAAGGCCAUUGCUGACAAGGCGUUAGUUGACUUCGGCGAGCUGCAGGUAUUGUGCUUGGGGAAGGGUCUCGCGUACUUCGAGGAGGUCUGGAUUGAUAAUCACCCCAAAUUCUGCUGCUCACGAGCAGGAGUCUUCAACGGCUGCUAAGGCCCAGUUUGACAAGUUCGUAUUGGACAAGGCGGAGGAGAAAGCGGCCUUUGACUUGGUGCUGGAGAAGACGACGGCUGAGGCGGCGGCACAGAAGGCCAUUGCUGACAAGGCGUUAGUGGACUUCGGCGAGCUGCAGGUAUUGUGCUUGGGGAAGGGUCUCGCGUACUUCGAGGAGGUCUGGAUUGAUAAUCACCCCAAAUUCUGCUGCUCACGAGCAGGAGUCUUCAACUGCCGCCAAGGCCCAGUUUGACAAGUUCGUGUUGGACAAGGCGGAGGAGAAAGCGGCCUUUGAUCUGGUGCUGGAGAAGACCACAGCUGAGGCGGCGGCACAGAAGGCCAUUGCUGACAAGGCGUUAGUGGACUUCGGCGAGCUGCAGGUAUUGUGCUUGGGGAAGGGUCUCGCGUACUUCGAGGAGGUCUGGAUUGAUAAUCACCCCAAAUUCUGCUGCUCACGAGCAGGAGUCUUCAACUGCCGCCAAGGCCCAGUUUGACAAGUUCGUGUUGGACAAGGCGGAGGAGAAAGCGGCCUUUGAUCUGGUGCUGGAGAAGACGACAGCUGAGGCGGCGGCACAGAAGGCCAUUGCUGACAAGGCGUUAGUGGACUUCGGCGAGCUGCAGGUAUUCUGCUUGGGAAAGGGUCUCGCGUACUUCGAGGAGGUCUAUUAUUGAUAAUUAACCCAAAAUUGGCUGCUCACGAGCAGGAGUCUUCAACUGCCGCCAAGGCCCAGUUUGACAAGUUCGUGUUGGACAAGGCGGAGGAGAAAGCGGCCUUUGACUUGGUGCUGGAGAAGACGACGGCUGAGGCGGCGGCACAGAAGGCCAUUGCUGACAAGGCGUUAGUGGACUUCGGCGAGCUGCAGGUAUUCUGCUUGGGAAAGGGUCUCGCGUACUUCGAGAAGGUUUGUUUUGAUAAUUAACCCAAAAUUGGCUGCUCACGAGCAGGAGUCUUCAACUGCUGCUAAGGCCCAGUUUGACAAGUUCGUGUUGGACAAGGCGGAGGAGAAAGCGGCCUUUGAUCUUGGUGCUGGAGAAGACGACAGCUGAGGCGGCGGCACAGAAGGCCAUUGCUGACAAGGCGUUAGUGGACUUCGGCGAGCUGCAGGUAUUGUGCUUGGGAAAGGGUCUCGCGUACUUCGAGGAGGUCUGUUUUGAUUAUCACCCCAAAUAUUGCUGCUCACAAGCAGGAGUCUUCAACGGCUGCCAAGGCCCAGUUUGACAAGUUCGUGUUGGACAAGGCGGAGGAGAAAGCGGCCUUUGACUUGGUGCUGGAGAAGACGACAGCUGUGGCGGCGGCACAGAAGGCCAUUGCUGACAAGGCGUUAGUGGACUUCGGCGAGCUGCAGGUAUUCUGCUUGGGAAAGGGUCUCGCGUACUUCGAGAAGGUUUGUUUUGAUUAUUAACCCAAAAUUGGCUGCUCACAAGCAGGAGUCUUCAACGGCUGCUAAGGCCCAGUUUGACAAGUUCGUGUUGGACAAGGCGGAGGAGAAAGCGGCCUUUGACCUGGUGCUGGAGAAGACGACAGCUGAGGCGGCGGCACAGAAGGCCAUUGCUGACAAGGCGUUAGUGGACUUCGGGGAGCUGCAGGUUAGCGCAUGCACAUCUGGUCCAGGGUUUCGUAUGCAGGUCAACCUUUCUUGACCAUGUUGAAUAUUGAUUAGUAUCCGCGUGUGCUUAUUCCCGACGCUUUAGUGCCUUCACUGCUUGCGGUGUGUUCGCGCUGAUGUGCCGGAUUACCGGGCGUUUUAUCCUUAUCCCGCUCGCUGUCUGCAUCAUACUGGUAUGGUCCUUUCCCUCAGCAUUUGCCCAUUACCGAGGCUGAGGUUGGCGGUUAGUAGUAGGCACAGCGGGAAAGCGAUGCCCCUUUCACACCUGGGAAGUGUCGAUUCGUGCGCAUUUCGUGCUGCCGUAGGAGUCCGCCGCAACCACCAAGUCCCAGUUCGACAAGUUCGUGGCGGACAAGGCUGAGGAGAAAGCUGUCUUUGAUCACCUUCUGGAACAGACAGUGGCAGAGGUUGCGGCACAUAAGGCCAUUGCCGACAAGGCGCUGGUGGAUAUGGACGAAAUGCAG
Molecule: long non-coding RNA, 4865 nt
Filed under: Volvox carteri
Lineage: Eukaryota; Viridiplantae; Chlorophyta; Chlorophyceae; Chlamydomonadales; Volvocaceae
Description: long non-coding RNA (VCAR_LNC001007)
Source: RNAcentral